GGAUAACCUACCCUUAGGACCGGGAUAACCCUGGGAAACUGGGGAUAAUACUGGAUAGGCAAUUUUUCCUGUAAUGGUUUUUUGUUUAAAUGUUUUUUCGCCUAAGGAUGGGUCUGCGGCCGAUUAGGUAGUUGGUUAGGUAAUGGCUUACCAAGCCGUUGAUCGGUACGGGUUGUGAGAGCAAGAGCCCGGAGAUGGAACCUGAGACAAGGUUCCAGGCCCUACGGGGUGCAGCAGGCGCGAAACCUCCGCAAUGUGAGAAAUCGCGACGGGGGGAUCCCAAGUGCCAUUCUUAACGGGAUGGCUUUUCAUUAGUGUAAAGAGCUUUUGGAAUAAGGGCUGGGCAAGACCGGUGCCAGCCGCCGCGGUAACACCGACAGCUCUAGUGGUAGCAGUUUUUAUUGGGCCUAAAGCGUCCGUAGCCGGUUUAAUAAGUCUCUGGUGAAAUCCUGUAGCUUAACUGUGGGAAUUGCUGGAGAUACUAUUAGACUUGAGACCGGGAGAGGUUAGAGGUACUCCCAGGGUAGAGGUGAAAUUCUGUAAUCCUGGGAGGACCGCCUGUUGCGAAGGCGUCUAACUGGAACGGUUCUGACGGUGAGGGACGAAAGCUAGGGGCGCGAACCGGAUUAGAUACCCGGGUAGUCCUAACUGUAAACGAUGCGGACUUGGUGUUGGGGUGGCUUUGAGCUGC
This 691-nucleotide ribosomal RNA is filed under the name uncultured archaeon. RNAcentral's name for it is "bacterial SSU rRNA". It matches the Rfam family "Archaeal small subunit ribosomal RNA", at positions 102 to 793 of the family's 1478-position model. The record is from RNAcentral.